GAAGCAGAGUGUGCAUCACGGCGAGUCAGGUUACAGCCACGGCGAGUCAGGUUACAGCCACGGCGAGUCAGGUUACAGCCACGGCGAGUCAGGUUACAGCCACGGCGAGUCAGGUUACAGCCACGGCGAGUCAGGUUACAGCCACGGCGAGUCAGGUUACAGCCACGGCGAGUCAGGUUACAGCCACGGCGAGUCAGGUUACAGCCACGGCGAGUCAGGUUACAGCCACGGCGAGUCAGGUUACAGCCACGGCGAGUCAGGUUACAGCCACGGCGAGUCAGGUUACAGCCACGGCGAGUCAGGUUACAGCCACGGCGAGUCAGGUUACAGCCACGGCGAGUCAGGUUCCGGAAAAACUGGAACCGCAGCCACUCCGUAUUGAUUAUAGUCGGCAAGAUCUUUUACUGACCAGUACAUUCAGAGUAAGUGACAGACUUUGAUCUCACCUGUUGCACUGUGGAAAUCUGUCUCCCAGUCUCU
This is a long non-coding RNA of Oncorhynchus keta (chum salmon), 480 nucleotides long. RefSeq lists it as uncharacterized. Lineage: Eukaryota; Metazoa; Chordata; Actinopteri; Salmoniformes; Salmonidae. The record is from RefSeq and is a predicted model, not a curated record. The transcript has 3 exons.